Molecule: ribosomal RNA, 714 nt
Filed under: Triticum aestivum (bread wheat)
Lineage: Eukaryota; Viridiplantae; Streptophyta; Magnoliopsida; Poales; Poaceae
Description: partial small subunit ribosomal RNA
Source: RNAcentral
AUGGGCCUAGGCACUGUUGCAGCGAUGUGGUCUUAUCUCUGUCAGCGCUAUCAGCCCUCUGGUGAUGCUCUUUACUUAUCUGUGGUGCGUGAGGAGCAUGCUCUUCAGCAGGGUGACUCAUCUGUUGAUGAGUUCUACACACAGAGUUCUGCCAUCUGGCGCCAGCUUGACUCUCUUCGGACUGUUGUUUGUGGAUCUUGCCGCUGCUGUCAGACUAUACGGUCCGACUUGGAGUUUCAGCGUGUCCAUGAGUUCUUAUCUCGCCUCCGCUCCGAGUUUGAGCCUCGACGUGCUCACUUGCUUGCUCGUGGUCGUGUUCCUAUCUCGGAGGUACUUGCUGAGCUUCGUGCUGAGGAGACCCGCCUUCGUUCAGCUGGGUUGCUUGCGGUUCCUUCUGUGUUGGCUGCCCGAGCUCCUGUGUCAUCUGCUCGUCCCAGUGCUCCACCGUUACUGCCCACACCUUCAGGGGGGUGGGUCGCCCUCCUUAUGUUGAGAAGGGUCGGUCGCGCCGUGACACUUUCUGUGACUACUGCUCCAGGCCGGGUCACCCAGAGUCUGACUGUCGUCAGAAGCAGCGAAACCAGAGGCGCUCCUAUUCCAGUGGGACUCCUGUGUCGUCAUCGACUCCGUCACUCACUGACCAAGACAUUGUGCGGCUCAAGCGCCUUCUGGCUUCCUCUGGUUCUUCAUCGACGGGCUCUGCUACUGCUGUGA